This 633-nucleotide ribosomal RNA is filed under the name Microbacteriaceae bacterium So1Ps_543. RNAcentral's name for it is "bacterial SSU rRNA". It matches the Rfam family "Bacterial small subunit ribosomal RNA", at positions 382 to 1028 of the family's 1533-position model. Lineage: Bacteria; Bacillati; Actinomycetota; Actinomycetes; Micrococcales; Microbacteriaceae. The record is from RNAcentral.
CCUGAUGCAGCAACGCCGCGUGAGGGACGACGGCCUUCGGGUUGUAAACCUCUUUUAGUAGGGAAGAAGCGAAAGUGACGGUACCUGCAGAAAAAGCACCGGCUAACUACGUGCCAGCAGCCGCGGUAAUACGUAGGGUGCAAGCGUUAUCCGGAAUUAUUGGGCGUAAAGAGCUCGUAGGCGGUUUGUCACGUCUGCUGUGAAAACUGGAGGCUCAACCUCCAGCCUGCAGUGGGUACGGGCAGACUAGAGUGCGGUAGGGGAGAUUGGAAUUCCUGGUGUAGCGGUGGAAUGCGCAGAUAUCAGGAGGAACACCGAUGGCGAAGGCAGAUCUCUGGGCCGUAACUGACGCUGAGGAGCGAAAGCAUGGGGAGCGAACAGGAUUAGAUACCCUGGUAGUCCAUGCCGUAAACGUUGGGAACUAGAUGUAGGGACCAUUCCACGGUUUCUGUGUCGCAGCUAACGCAUUAAGUUCCCCGCCUGGGGAGUACGGCCGCAAGGCUAAAACUCAAAGGAAUUGACGGGGGCCCGCACAAGCGGCGGAGCAUGCGGAUUAAUUCGAUGCAACGCGAAGAACCUUACCAAGGCUUGACAUAUACCGGAAAAGUUCAGAAAUGUUCUCCCCGCAAGGUC